Molecule: ribosomal RNA, 470 nt
Filed under: Neisseria sicca
Lineage: Bacteria; Pseudomonadati; Pseudomonadota; Betaproteobacteria; Neisseriales; Neisseriaceae
Description: bacterial SSU rRNA
Rfam family: Bacterial small subunit ribosomal RNA
Source: RNAcentral
AUUGAACGCUGGCGGCAUGCUUUACACAUGCAAGUCGGACGGCAGCACAGAGAAGCUUGCUUCUUGGGUGGCGAGUGGCGAACGGGUGAGUAACAUAUCGGAACGUACCGAGCAGUGGGGGAUAACUAAUCGAAAGAUUAGCUAAUACCGCAUAUCUUCUGAGGAAGAAAGCAGGGGACCAUUUGGCCUUGCGCUGUUUGAGCGGCCGAUAUCUGAUUAGCUAGUUGGUGGGGUAAAGGCCUACCAAGGCGACGAUCAGUAGCGGGUCUGAGAGGAUGAUCCGCCACACUGGGACUGAGACACGGCCCAGACUCCUACGGGAGGCAGCAGUGGGGAAUUUUGGACAAUGGGCGCAAGCCUGAUCCAGCCACGCCGCGUGUCUGAAGAAGGCCUUCGGGUUGUAAAGGACUUUUGUCAGGGAAGAAAAGGGCGGGGUUAAUACCCCUGUCUGAUGACGGUACCUGAAGAUA